GAUGAACGCUAGCUACAGGCUUAACACAUGCAAGUCGAGGGGAAACGAUAGAGAAAGCUUGCUUUUUCUAGGCGUCGACCGGCGCAUGGGUGAGUAACGCGUAUCCAACCUGCCCACCACUUGGGGAUAACCUUGCGAAAGUAAGACUAAUACCCAAUGAUAUCUCAAGAAGACAUCUGAAUGAGAUUAAAGAUUUAUCGGUGAUGGAUGGGGAUGCGUCUGAUUUGCUUGUUGGCGGGGUAACGGCCCACCAAGGCGACGAUCAGUAGGGGUUCUGAGAGGAAGGUCCCCCACAUUGGAACUGAGACACGGUCCAAACUCCUACGGGAGGCAGCAGUGAGGAAUAUUGGUCAAUGGGCGAGAGCCUGAACCAGCCAAGUAGCGUGCAGGAUGACGGCCCUAUGGGUUGUAAACUGCUUUUAUAAGGGAAUAAAGUGAGUCUCGUGAGACUUUUUGCAUGUACCUUAUGAAUAAGGACCGGCUAAUUCCGUGCCAGCCGCCGCCGUAA
This 508-nucleotide ribosomal RNA is filed under the name uncultured bacterium. RNAcentral describes it as "partial 16S ribosomal RNA". It matches the Rfam family "Bacterial small subunit ribosomal RNA", at positions 28 to 523 of the family's 1533-position model. The record is from RNAcentral.